RNAcentral lists this ribosomal RNA (236 nucleotides) under uncultured bacterium. Its description in RNAcentral is "partial 16S ribosomal RNA". It matches the Rfam family "Bacterial small subunit ribosomal RNA", at positions 82 to 334 of the family's 1533-position model. The record is from RNAcentral.
UGGGUUUAGACCCACGGCAAACGGGUGAGUAAUACCCAGGAACGUACCCUUAGUUGAGCAUAAUCCACCGAAAGGUGGGAUAAUUCUCAAUGUAGCAGCAAUGCUAAAGUCGCAAGACGCUAAGGAAGCGGCCUGGGCACCAUCAGCUAGUUGGUAAGGUAAUGGCUUACCAAGGCUUUGACGGUUAGGGGCCCCGAGAGGGGAAACCUCCACACUGGAACUGAGACACGGUCCAG